GUGCAGCAGUCGCGAAAACUCCGCAAUACGCGAAAGCGUGACGGGGCUACCCCGAGUGUCGUCCGCUGAGGACGACUUUUCCACGCUGUAAGGAGGCGUGGGAAUAAGGAGAGGGCAAGUCUGGUGUCAGCCGCCGCGGUAAUACCAGCUCUCCGAGUGGUAGGGACGAUUAUUGGGCUUAAAGCGUCCGUAGCCGGCUCAGCAAGUCUCCCGUUAAAUCCAGCGAUUUAAUCGUUGGACUGCGGGGGAUACUGUCCGGCUAGGGGGCGAGAGAGGCCGACGGUAUUUCCGGGGUAGGGGUGAAAUCCUAUAAUCCCGGGAGGACCACCAGUGGCGAAGGCUGUCGGCUAGAACGCGCCCGACGGUGAGGGGCGAAAGCUGGGGGAGCGAACCGGAUUAGAUACCCGCGUAGUCC
Molecule: ribosomal RNA, 415 nt
Filed under: uncultured crenarchaeote
Lineage: Archaea; Thermoproteati; Thermoproteota
Description: partial 16S ribosomal RNA
Rfam family: Archaeal small subunit ribosomal RNA
Source: RNAcentral